RNAcentral lists this microRNA precursor (73 nucleotides) under Tetraodon nigroviridis (spotted green pufferfish). Its description in RNAcentral is "Tni-Let-7-P2a4a_pre stem-loop". It matches the Rfam family "let-7 microRNA precursor family", at positions 7 to 78 of the family's 84-position model. From Rfam's summary of the family: This family represents the microRNAs (miRNA) let-7 and mir-98. let-7 was identified from a study of developmental timing in C. elegans, and was later shown to be part of a much larger class of non-coding RNAs termed miRNAs. The extents of the hairpin precursors are not generally known and are estimated based on hairpin prediction. The record is from RNAcentral. Lineage: Eukaryota; Metazoa; Chordata; Actinopteri; Tetraodontiformes; Tetraodontidae.
UGAGGUAGUAGAUUGAAUAGUUGUGGGGUUGUGUGACCUCUAUGUGAGAUAACUAUACAAUCUACUGUCUUUC